RNAcentral lists this small RNA (127 nucleotides) under Marmota monax (woodchuck). Lineage: Eukaryota; Metazoa; Chordata; Mammalia; Rodentia; Sciuridae. The record is from RNAcentral.
GUCAGGCGUGGUGGCGCACGCCUGUAAUUCCAGUGGCUCAGGAGGCUGAGGCAGGAGGAUCGUGAGUUCAAGGCCAACCUCAGCAACUUAGCAGGGCCCUAAGCAAUUUAGUGAAAUCCUUUCUCUU